RNAcentral lists this non-coding RNA (46 nucleotides) under Trichobilharzia regenti. The record is from RNAcentral. Lineage: Eukaryota; Metazoa; Platyhelminthes; Trematoda; Strigeidida; Schistosomatidae.
GUACUGAUGAAGAGUCCCAAACUAGGACUUAACGAUUGUCCAGUAC